This 1810-nucleotide long non-coding RNA is filed under the name Sorghum bicolor (sorghum). Its description in RNAcentral is "long non-coding RNA (SBIC_LNC005963)". Lineage: Eukaryota; Viridiplantae; Streptophyta; Magnoliopsida; Poales; Poaceae. The record is from RNAcentral.
CUCAGAUUCGAAUUAUAAUGUGAUAAUUCAGAAAUUGAGCCAUCACAUUAUCAUAUAUCAGCUGUUAUCACAGUCAUACAUCGUGAAAAAGGAGAUUACAACACAUUUACUUUACAACUCUUAGUUAACAAGCCUAUUACAUCGUUUUACUAGCGGAAACAUACACGAAUCUUUAUCAGAGUUGAUGUAGCGCGUCAACGGUGAAGGCUCCUCCUUCACGGGCAAUCAUCAGAGUCGGCGUAGUUUAUCAGCGGGCGUAGCCUUCAUCUCCGAACCAAACUUGAGCGCAGGAACGAGACCACCUAAUCCUUCUAUUCUCCGUGGUUAUCGUCUUAGACCACGUUCAACACCUGCUAAACAAUUUUCAGUACGAUUUGUACUGGCCACUGGCUCCCACCCUAUGCUUUUGCGUAAGCUUUGUGGUAAGUGGAAUGCAAAGGGGUAGAUCAAGAGGCCUAUAAAUAUGGUUGUAGUCUUUCCUAUGCAAGUUCAUCAUUAUUUAAUAAUAAUAUUCAUCAGGUUUUAAUCCAUCUCAACCACACAUCUAUCCAUCCAUCCAUCCAUCACACACAUCUCACCACACUCUCACUCUCUAGGCGGCAAGUACGACUCCCGCUCGUGCCUUGCCUCAACGGCCAACGCCGGAUCCAACACAAACCCAGGGGAAGGUAGAAGGGACUCCUCUCUCUAGUCAAGUGAAGCGGAAACAUAGGAAAGGUCCAUAGCCGAAAACGGCAUAUGUAUCGAUCGAUCAACCAGAAACUCUGCAGAGGUUUGCACUAACCACAAGAUCACCAUCAUCGGUGGUGCGCCCCACCUAGGCUGAUGCCAGGCUGCCUUCCAACUAAGUACGAUGCCACCCUACCACUCAGAACUGGGACCAUACCGGAGUACCACCGGUACGCUGAGACUGUGAGGCGUAGUACCGGGCCCCCAAAGGUCACUACGCUGUCUUAGGAGGGUGUGGGUCCUCAUGCCCGUACCUCCCUACACUGUCAACCAACAACCUAGUAGUAGUGGCACCGCCCUAACUGGUCGUACAUCCGUCUCCUCCCCAUAAGAGCGAGUGGGGUGCAAGGCUUCCUACGAACCGGUUCUCAGAACAUCUCAGUCCUUAGGGUGACCGAACAGGACAUCUUCACGAGGGGCCAACCGAUGCCCGGCUCGACGGGACAUCCGAUUACCCCUUGCUAAACAGCACCUCCCAUCCCGGUGCUUCGUCCCACGAAGACACUCCACUCCGGGACCUCUCCCUGUCACAUGUACCCGCCACAGGUAUCUCUCGUGGAGAACGCCCAGGUAGCGUCCCCCGGCAAGACUUGCCCCAAGACUCGUCGUAGAUCCUGCUCGGUCGACUCAACCCUCACCACACACCCAAGACACACGCCAAGAUCUCCCCAAAUCCAUUACUAUCUCAUUAUCCAGCUUUUGGCACCACGUGCCUUAUCCACUCACUUCCAGUCCUCCACAAUGCAUCACAUCACAGAUAUAAUGCGUAGUAGAAGCAGUAGCAAGUAGUAUGCAAGCAUCUAACCUAACAGCGGGUGUGCGAGGAUUAUAGGUUGCAACAAGGCAAUGGCUCACAAGCAUUUCUACCAUGCAACCUAUCUCAAUUUAUUUGCAUAAAAGUAAAGCACUAGCAUCUACAUAUUGCAUGUCUAAUAGGAUUCUACGAGGUUGGGUGGGACGUGGCACCUGUCGAGUGACAUUUCCAGGAUCCUCAGUUCACUUGUAGUUGUACUCAUCCAAGGUCUUUCUCCUAUCUGCAUGUCCUUCCUUCGACUGGUUCCGACUCGAUCAUCGCUAACCG